RNAcentral lists this ribosomal RNA (258 nucleotides) under uncultured bacterium. Its description in RNAcentral is "partial 16S ribosomal RNA". It matches the Rfam family "Bacterial small subunit ribosomal RNA", at positions 96 to 354 of the family's 1533-position model. The record is from RNAcentral.
UGGCGGACGGGUGAGUAACGCGUGGAAAACCUGCCGUAUACUGGGGGAUAACACUUAGAAAUAGGUGCUAAUACCGCAUAAGCGCACAGCUUCGCAUGAAGCGGUGUGAAAAACUCUGGUGGUANACGAUGGUUCCGCGUCUGAUUAGCUAGUUGGUGGGGUAAUGGCCUACCAAGGCAACGAUCAGUAGCCGGCCUGAGAGGGUGAACGGCCACAUUGGGACUGAGACACGGCCCAAACUCCUACGGAAGGCAGCAG